This is a non-coding RNA of Gasterosteus aculeatus aculeatus (three-spined stickleback), 655 nucleotides long. The record is from RefSeq and is a predicted model, not a curated record. NCBI's taxonomy places the organism in Eukaryota, Metazoa, Chordata, Actinopteri, Perciformes, Gasterosteidae.
GUGGACACAAGUUAUGGGAUGAACUAUAAGGAAUGUCACCUCAAUGUCACUGCAGUGAAGGAUCGACCCGAACCUGAGACAACGAGUGACACCAGACUGAGAUGGAUCGUUCUCUACUGUGUACUGGGACUACUGGGACUUACAGCAGCUCUACUGGUUGUUUAUUCAUUCUAUCGCUGCAUCACAAAAAGGAUUAGAGAUCAGUACAACAAACAAUACAUCAAAACCUCAAUUAAAGUUAUUGAUCCUUUAAAUGUUUCGCACAGAAACAGUCUGAGUUGUUCUGACGGAAGUCCAGCUGAGACACAUCUGGAUCUUUGGAUGUCUCCUGUGUGUCUCAUGGACCAACAGCAGCAUGAAGGUAUCAGUGAGUCCUGGGACUACUGGGACUGACAGCAGCUCUACUGGGAUGUUUCUUUAUUUUCUAUCUGCAUUGCAAAGAAAGAUUAGUGAUCAGCAGAACAAAUGAUAUAUCGUUGUUAAAUUAAAGUUUUUGCACAGAAAGUGUCUGACUUCUGACAUCAAAGUAUGAAUGUGUGUUAAUGUACUGUGUACAAGUCAAAUGAAAUGUUUUCAUUGCAUCGCUUUCUUUUUUUUCAUCCUGAGUGUAAAUUGUAUUUUUUCUUUCCAUAUUAAAAUCACAAAUCCAAACCCA